This is a long non-coding RNA of Helianthus annuus (common sunflower), 2045 nucleotides long. RefSeq lists it as uncharacterized. Lineage: Eukaryota; Viridiplantae; Streptophyta; Magnoliopsida; Asterales; Asteraceae. The transcript has 4 exons. The record is from RefSeq and is a predicted model, not a curated record.
UUUAAUCACCUCUAGAUACCUCCAGUACACCAUUCCAGGUCUAAAUCAAAAAACAUAGCCAUCACUCCAUCCGCCCACAUAUUAGGGUUUUGCUACUUCACCGCUCGAAGGUAUAAUUCUUGAUUAGGGUUUUGCUACUUCCCCAUUUCAAGCGACUCUUAAUCCAUUCAAGCAACGGUAAUGAGUAACCAAUACGCAAGCAGGCAACAAAUUUGAUUUUUCAGAACGUUAUUUUUAUUUGGAGGAAGAAAAUGGCUUUGACUGUGAUGAUUAUUAGGCUUCAGUCUUAUUGAGAUGAUGUCAAACAGCUUCAGUUACGCUAUGCAACAUCACUUAUUGGAGGUCCAUCGACUCCAGCUACUUUUGUGGAUUUAUAUGCUAUUUUGAGCCCACCUUUCCUGAAUUUAUGACAAAGAGAGGCAGGGGCGUAGCUUAGUGUAAAGUGGGGGAUGCACCCGCCCGCCAGUGUUUCGGUUAGAAAUGUAAAAUUUCCUAUUUUUCGUCCAAAAUUUUUAAAAUUAAAUAGGAUUGUCUCCCCAAUUAUUUUGCCUAAAUAUUUAUACAAUAUAUAAAUUGGGUCCCAUGACUUUCCGUCCCCUCGGAACUUUUGGUCAAGCUCCGCCACUGAAGAGAGGUGUCUACACUCUUUUCUAUCCGGUUUGCUUUAGUUCUCAAUCAUAUGAUCAGUUCUACUUUACCGCGUAGUGUUUUUUCCUUCUCAUCUUUUGUUUUUUUACUUUGCAGGGGCUGCAUUUGCUUUUCCAAUUCCCUCUCGGUAUUCCGACUGUUGCCAUAAUCAUGGUUUUAAAAAACGGUUGAGGCGUGCGCCUCGAGGCGCGCCUCAAGGCGAAACGGCCAAAAAACAAUAAUAAACUACUAUUAUUGUUUUUGUAUGUUCCAUCAAGUCACCAAGUUCUUACCAUUGGGGUCUCUAUAAAGCUCUUAGAAUACAUUAGUUAUCAUUUAAUUAACUAUAUACAAAAAUAGAAAAAUGGAUGAGAAGUUUUGUUUGUCGACCAAGCCAACCCUUUUGGCCCACACAAAAACUAACCCGUUUCAGACCAGUUUUUACCCAUCAACUAGCCCACCCAUCUACAAGCUAAUAAUGAUGUUGAAGACUAUUUUUCACUUGAUAUUAUGUUAAUAGAGUCCCCAUCCUUUUAAAUUAUGCUAACAAGAAAUGGAUGGGAUUAUCUAUCUCUAAAGAUACUGUGUGCUUGUAUGGCUAGUGGUCCAUAGGUAGGAUAGAAGACAAGACCAAAAACUACCUGUUUAAUGGUCUCAACUCUCCAAUGAUAAUAUGGCAUCAGUUAUAACUAUAAUACAGGUAUGUUAGUUUAGUUAUGCUAAUUAUGUUUAGGAAAAAACAUUAGUUAUAACUAAAAUAACGGGUAUGUUGGUUUAUUUAUUUUGCUAAUUAUAUUUAGGAAAUAAAACAUUAGUUGUAACUAUAAUAAUGGGCAUGUAAGAAGAAAGAGUUGGAGAAAACUUCAAUAUGUGCUACUCUGUUAUUCUAUGCUGAAUGAUAGAAAAAUAUUGUAGUUGAUAAUAGGGUAUGUUAUAUGAGUUGGGCUGGGUUCUUAAAUUAAAUAAAUCUGAAUAAUUUGUACUUAUCUUUAUUUCCUUUUGUCCCUGUAGGAGCAAGCAGAUGAAUUUGAUAAACUCGUUAUACAAACUAGAAGUGUAUAACUAAGAUUAGAUUUUGUUCUUCCUCAACCAACUUGACCCGUUAUCAGUUUUCUUUAAUUCUGACUUUUGGAUUUUCUUUAUUGGUUGUUUCGUAGAUUGAAAAGGUAAACUUGAUUAUCAAGGAGCUCGUUGAGGGAAAGGAUGGAGAAGAAGAAAAGUUGAAUAGAAUUAUUGCGGGGCCGUCGGCUGAAAAAGAAAAAGAUAAGGUGGAUAAAUAUACUAUGCUCAAUAGGAUAUCACAAGUUGAAGCUAUGUUAACAGCUAUUGUUCUUAGAUAUGUUAUAAACACUUGGUUUUGAAUGUUUCGAUGUUUAUCAUAUUAGGAUAAUUCCAGUGAUUUAACUUUUUAGUUGGUA